AUUGGAGUGGCAGAGCCCGGAUGAUGCGGAAGGUCUAAGCCCUUUACACAGAGGUUCAAAUCCUCCCUCCAAUU
This 74-nucleotide transfer RNA is filed under the name Xyrichtys novacula (pearly razorfish). It matches the Rfam family "tRNA". From Rfam's summary of the family: Transfer RNA (tRNA) molecules are approximately 80 nucleotides in length. Their secondary structure includes four short double-helical elements and three loops (D, anti-codon, and T loops). Further hydrogen bonds mediate the characteristic L-shaped molecular structure. tRNAs have two regions of fundamental functional importance: the anti-codon, which is responsible for specific mRNA codon recognition, and the 3' end, to which the tRNAs corresponding amino acid is attached (by aminoacyl-tRNA synthetases). tRNAs cope with the degeneracy of the genetic code in two manners: having more than one tRNA (with a specific anti-codon) for a particular amino acid; and 'wobble' base-pairing, i.e. permitting non-standard base-pairing at the 3rd anti-codon position. Lineage: Eukaryota; Metazoa; Chordata; Actinopteri; Labriformes; Labridae. The record is from RNAcentral.